RNAcentral lists this ribosomal RNA (301 nucleotides) under uncultured bacterium. Its description in RNAcentral is "partial 16S ribosomal RNA". It matches the Rfam family "Bacterial small subunit ribosomal RNA", at positions 509 to 807 of the family's 1533-position model. The record is from RNAcentral.
CAGCAGCCGCGGUAAUACGAAGGGUGCAAGCGUUACUCGGAAUUACUGGGCGUAAAGCGUGCGUAGGUGGUGGUUUAAGUCCGUUGUGAAAGCCCUGGGCUCAACCUGGGAAUUGCAGUGGAUACUGGAUCACUAGAGUGUGGUAGAGGAUAGUGGAAUUUCCGGUGUAGCAGUGAAAUGCGUAGAGAUCGGAAGGAACAUCUGUGGCGAAGGCGACUAUCUGGGCCAACACUGACACUGAGGCACGAAAGCGUGGGGAGCAAACAGGAUUAGAGACCCCCGUAGUCCCUGUCUCUUAUAC